AAGAAAGCAUUUUUUUUUUAUUUUAUAUUUUCUUCCAUUGAAGGAUCAAGAUUUUUGUUUACAAUGGGUCAUUGUACUUCAAGAAAAUGUUCGACAAAUUGUACCAGGCUGAUUGGAAACCAGAGUCACCAGAUAAGUUUGGUGAUAUUGCCGAAUUAAUCAAGUCUCUAAAUUUGGUACAACUUGAAGAUAAAAAAACCACCAGGUCAAGGACCAAAAUCAACUCAGACUUCUACAAAAGUCUCGUCUGCCAACCCCCCUACACAAAAACCUGUUGCAUAUCGUCCACCACAUGCUAAGAAUGCAGCUUCUAUUCAGG
Cajanus cajan (pigeon pea) is the source of this 319-nucleotide long non-coding RNA. RefSeq lists it as uncharacterized. Lineage: Eukaryota; Viridiplantae; Streptophyta; Magnoliopsida; Fabales; Fabaceae. The record is from RefSeq and is a predicted model, not a curated record.